UUCAAUCAGCCAAUAGGAGCUCAAAUCCAGCCGGAAGAACCGCCCACUAUCCUGACGAUGCCCAGCGGUGUGUGUGUCUCUGUGUGUGUGUUAGGAUGUGUGUAUCUGUGUGUGUGUGUGUGUGUGUGCCUGGGGGUGUGUGUGUGUGUGUGUGUGUGUGUAAGUCCUCUGUUAAACCUGCUAUCAGUGCUGCAUCAGCAGCUUCUUUCAUCAUCACUGAUGUGAGACGGUUUUGAACCGUACAACACACACACACGCCCACACACACGUCUCUGGAGAAUCGUUUCCUCCAGCUGUUUUUGCUGAGGCGGCGUUUGGUGGCUCUGAGGUUAGCGGUGCGUUCUCGUUGUUGGAACCAGAGAUGCUAAAGCUACAUCGCUAACAGCAGCCAUGAAGCUUCUUCUUCUCUGGGUUCAUUUCUGCUUCUAAUUGAUCUGAUUGGACGCUGGAAAAGACUGUUGUUGUGUUCAAGUUGUGCUAAAAGGAGUUAGCCUAAACUGAAAUAGCAUCUUGAUGCUAACAUGUGACAGCUAGCGCUAAUGUCCACAUUUCUAAAGGAGCUCCAUGUUUCAGUUCUUCCUGAAACUCUUUGCUGAUGGUUGAUUAAAAAUGAUAAUUAUCUAAUUAUUCAUGAACUUGGCAGCAAAAACGUUUUGAAUUGAAAAUGUUGCUGACUUAGUUGAUAUAAUCACGUUUGGUGUUUGUGUUUUAAAAAGCAGCCUGGAAGCCCCGCCCCCUCCCUCAGUCGCCUAGCAACCAGCACAGCUGGGAUGGGUGCAAUUUGGAGGUGUGUGGGCUUCCUGUUAGCCGUCUGGCAACAGGAAGCUCAGCAGACUCAAGUCUCGAUCUCUGAAGUGCUGCACAUGCUCAGAACGGCCGUAGAGCCAGAGGAGAUCUUUGACCUUUGACCUUCUGGCCUCAGUCCGCUGUGCUGAAACUCAUGAUGUUUUGCAUGGCGUUUAAAUUCUGCUUAAUCUGAUCUAAAUGGAUUAAAGGCAAAAAGAGCAAACAGAUUAAAUAUGAGCAUAAAGUCGUCCCACACAGAGACGCUCUGAUUGGUUGACGAUCAUCCUGACCAAUCAUAGCAGCUCCCACCUGAUCCGCCUGUUCUCCUGCAGAUAAUCCCCGCUUCUUUUUCAUCUGCAUGUUUUGAAACAGCCUUUAUCUCAUUAGCUGAGCGGCGUUGAGGCGGAUGGUUGCGAGUGUGUAGGUGAGCAGGAAGCUGCCAGCCGCGGCGCAGCGCAGCCACCUUCACUUCUAAUCCGCCGCAGCAUCGUUACGGAGCGAACCGCCGCGCCGCGCGGGCGGCAUCACAACAAUCACAGCAACAAAACCGCUAUCAGCUGCUGAGAUGAGUUUAAUCCAGGGACUGAAAACACACGCAGCUCCAGAUGCUUUCACUGAAAAUGAAUCUGGAGAAUUUGACAGAUUUUAGGUUUUAAACUGAUGAAUCCAUGCAGACGGUAAAAAACAUUUUUACAUGUUUUCAGUGUGAAAAUGUGCCAACAGUAGAGAAGAAGACAAACAUGAAACAAUAUCUGAGGGUAUUAUCCUCUACCCAGAAUGCAUUGCUGUAGUUCCACAGUAAACAGUUUAUAAUCUGUCCGGUAAGUUUUCUGACCGAAGCUCUACUGCAGCCAAUCAGGCUAAAGCAGCAGAAGAGUUAGCAAAACUCAACAAUCCUGAAACCUGAAAGCUCAGUCACACAGAAUCACUUCCACAAGCAAAAUGAAUGUUCGUGACUAGCAUUUAGCGUUAGCCUCAGCCAAACACUGUGUUGGCAUGUAGUGGAACGAUGACUCACUGAUCCACGUUUAGGUAGCAGCUGAAGCUACAUGCUAACCUUCGCUACAUGUAGCCAUGACAUCACACUUAAUACUCAGCCGGGACAUUUUCCUGGUAGAACUGAGACUAAAAGCUCAGAAACAAAGCAGCUUGUGAGGAACCGGGUCGCUGGCCAUCUCGUGAGCUGCGGUCGGUUCUGUUGGGACCAGAGACCCAUGUGACGCUGUUUCAACUGAGCCAGAACCGGCCGGAGUCGGGUCCACAAAGAGCCGCUGGGCUUCAGGGUUCUGCUGCAGCACCGGCUGGCUCAAAGGUCCAAAACAGAACCAGCCCGACCGGACCAGAACCCACCACUUUGACCCAACAGAACCCGACUGGUUGCUGAGCAACAAAUUUAAAAGAAAAAUGAAGG
Xiphophorus couchianus (Monterrey platyfish) is the source of this 2197-nucleotide long non-coding RNA. RefSeq lists it as uncharacterized. Lineage: Eukaryota; Metazoa; Chordata; Actinopteri; Cyprinodontiformes; Poeciliidae. The record is from RefSeq and is a predicted model, not a curated record. The transcript is spliced from 3 exons.